This 120-nucleotide ribosomal RNA is filed under the name uncultured bacterium. Its description in RNAcentral is "partial 16S ribosomal RNA". It matches the Rfam family "Bacterial small subunit ribosomal RNA", at positions 194 to 302 of the family's 1533-position model. The record is from RNAcentral.
CUACGGGGGAAAGCAGUGGACCUUCGGGCCUUGCGCGAUUGGAUAUGCCCAGGGGGGAUUAGCUAGUUGGUGGGGUCAUGGCUCACCAAGGCGACGAUCACUAGCUGGUCUGAGAGGAUG